AUUGAACGCUGGCGGCAUGCUUUACACAUGCAAGUCGAACGGUAACAGGCCGCAAGGUGCUGACGAGUGGCGAACGGGUGAGUAAUGCAUCGGAACGUGCCCAGUCGUGGGGGAUAACUACUCGAAAGAGUAGCUAAUACCGCAUACGAUCUAUGGAUGAAAGCGGGGGACCGUAAGGCCUCGCGCGAUUGGAGCGGCCGAUGUCAGAUUAGGUAGUUGGUGGGGUAAAGGCUCACCAAGCCAACGAUCUGUAGCUGGUCUGAGAGGACGACCAGCCACACUGGGACUGAGACACGGCCCAGACUCCUACGGGAGGUAGCAGUGGGGAAUUUUGGACAAUGGGCGCAAGCCUGAUCCAGCAAUGCCGCGUGCAGGAAGAAGGCCUUCGGAUUGUAAACUGCUUUUGUACGGAACGAAACGGCUCUGGUUAAUACCCGGGGCUAAUGACGGUACCGUAAGAAUAAGCACCGGCUAACUACGUG
RNAcentral lists this ribosomal RNA (482 nucleotides) under uncultured bacterium. Its description in RNAcentral is "partial 16S ribosomal RNA". It matches the Rfam family "Bacterial small subunit ribosomal RNA", at positions 30 to 507 of the family's 1533-position model. The record is from RNAcentral.